UUCGCCCUUAAAGGUUGAUGCUGGCUCAGGACGAACACUGGUGGCGUGCCUCACGCAUGUAAGUCAAACCGAGCUAAUGAUAUCUGUUAUUAACUUAUUGGCGAAUGGGUGAGUAACUCGUGAACAACCUGCCCCAUAGAGGGGGAUAACAGUGAGAAAUCGUUGCUAAUACCGCAUAAGACCAUGCUAUCGCCUGAUAGAGGGGUCAAAGAUUUAUCUCUAUGAGAGGGGUUGGUGUCCCAUUAUGUAGUAGGCGGGGUAACGACCCACCUAGCCGUCGAUGGGUAGCCGAGCUGAGAGGCUGAUCGGCCACACUGGAACUGAGACACGGUCCAGAGUCUUACGGGAGGCAGCACUGGGGAAUAUUGGGCAAUGGGCGCAAGCCUGACCCAGCAACGCCGCGUGAGGGAAGAAGGUUUUCGGAUAGUAAACCUCUGUCUUUGGUGAGGAAGGAAGUGACGGUAGCCAAGGAGGAAGCCCCGGCUAACUACGUUCCAGCAGCCGCGGUAAUACGUAGGGGGCGAGCGUUGUCCGGAAUUACUGGGCGUAAAGGGUGAGUAGGCGGUUUUUUAAGUUGGAUGUGAAAUUCCCGGGCUUAACUUGGGGGGUGCAUUCAAAACUGGGGAACUAGAGUACAGGAGAGGAAAGCGGAAUUCCUAGUGUAGCGGUGAAAUGCGUAGAUAUUAGGAGGAACACCGGUGGCGAAGGCGGCUUUCUGGACUGAAACUGACGCUGAGGCACGAAAGCGUGGGGAGCAAACAGGAUUAGAUACCCUGGUAGUCCACGCUGUAAACGAUGAAUACUAGGUGUAGGGGGUAAUACUCCCUCUGUGCCGCAGCAAACGCAAUAAGUAUUCCGCCUGGGGAGUACGGCCGCAAGGUUGAAACUCAAAGGAAUUGACGGGGGCCCGCACAAGCAGCGGAGCAUGUGGUUUAAUUUGACGCAACGCGAAGAACCUUACCAAGGCUUGACAUCUUACUAGAGAAGUAGAGAUACAUCAGGUGCCCUUCGCGCAAAGUAGAGACAGGUGGUGCAUGGUUGUCGUCAGCUGUCGUAGUGAGAUGUUGGGCUAAGUCCCGCAACGAGCGCUACCCGUAUUGUUAGUUGGUACGCCAGAGCACUCUAGCGAGACUGCCGUUGACAUAAUGGAGGAAGGUGGGGAUGACGUCAAAUCAUCAUGCCCCUUAUGUCCUGGGCUACACACGUAAUUCAAUGGCGGUCAACAGAGGGAUGCAAAACCGUAAGGUGGAGCGAACCCAUAAAACCCGUCCCAGUUCAGAUUGUGGGCUGCAACCCGCACACGUGAAGUCGGAAUCGCUCGUAAUGGCGGAUCAGCAUGCGGCGGUGAACAAGUUCUCG
RNAcentral lists this ribosomal RNA (1359 nucleotides) under uncultured bacterium. Its description in RNAcentral is "16S ribosomal RNA". It matches the Rfam family "Bacterial small subunit ribosomal RNA", at positions 1 to 1376 of the family's 1533-position model. The record is from RNAcentral.